AGAUGGCGACCGGCGCACGGGUGAGUAACACGUAUCCAACCUGCCGAUAACUCGGGGAUAGCCUUUCGAAAGAAAGAUUAAUACCCGAUGGUAUAAUCAGACCGCAUGGUUUGAUUAUUAAAGAAUUUCGGUUAUCGAUGGGGAUGCGUUCCAUUAGGCAGUUGGUGAGGUAACGGCUCACCAAACCUUCGAUGGAUAGGGGUUCUGAGAGGAGGUCCCCCACAUUGGAACUGAGACACGGUCCAA
Molecule: ribosomal RNA, 246 nt
Filed under: uncultured bacterium
Lineage: Bacteria
Description: partial 16S ribosomal RNA
Rfam family: Bacterial small subunit ribosomal RNA
Source: RNAcentral